RNAcentral lists this ribosomal RNA (301 nucleotides) under uncultured bacterium. RNAcentral's name for it is "partial 16S ribosomal RNA". It matches the Rfam family "Bacterial small subunit ribosomal RNA", at positions 509 to 807 of the family's 1533-position model. The record is from RNAcentral.
CAGCAGCCACGGGAAUACGUAGGUGGCAAGCGUUGUCCGGAAUUAUUGGGCGUAAAGGGCUCGCAGGCGGUUUCUUAAGUCUGAUGUGAAAGCCCCCGGCUCAACCGGGGAGGGUUAUUGGAAACUGGGAAACUUGAGUGCAGAAGAGGAGAGUGGAAUUCCACGUGUAGCGGUGAAAUGCGUAGAGAUGUGGAGGAACACCAGUAGCGAAGGCGACUCUCUGGUCUGUAACUGACGCUGAGGAGCGAAAGCGUGGGGAGCGAACAGGAUUAGAUACCCCCGUAGUCCCUGUCUCUUAUAC